This is a long non-coding RNA of Etheostoma cragini (Arkansas darter), 379 nucleotides long. RefSeq lists it as uncharacterized. NCBI's taxonomy places the organism in Eukaryota, Metazoa, Chordata, Actinopteri, Perciformes, Percidae. The record is from RefSeq and is a predicted model, not a curated record. The transcript has 2 exons.
GAGAGAGAGAGAGAGAGAGAGAGAGAGAGAGAGAGCGCGGAUCAGAGGCUGGAGAGCAGCGCGUCUCACAAAGAGGUAUCACCGAAGGAGAGGGACUCUACCCGGGGGCAGGAGGACAGUAAACCCGCCUGAACUCACUCCACGCACUCAUUAAUACCUGUAAAGACUUUUUGAAUCGACUCAUUAUACAGGAUUGGGAUGCGCCACUCGUGCGUAAAAAAAGCCUGGCGCCGGCUCCAGAGCGCACACCAAGCACCGGGAGGAAACCAUUCAUAACCAUCGUUAAACCUGCUUGUUGGACACUGUCAUCCUUUUUCAAUACGUUUAAAAAUCUCCAGCACCGGAGGAGAACUGAGUCAGAGAGAGGAGGAGGGGAAGG